UCAAGUAAUUAAGUGCAUGUGGUGGAUGCCUUGGCAGUCAGAGGCGAUGAAAGACGUGAUAGCCUGCGAAAAGCUCCGGGGAGGCGGCAAAUAUCCUUUGAUCCGGAGAUGUCUGAAUGGGGGAACCCACCUACUUUAAGGUAGGUAUUGCAACAUGAAUACAUAGUGUUGCAAGGCGAACGAGGGGAAGUGAAACAUCUCAGUACCCUUAGGAAAAGAAAUCAAUUGAGAUUCCCUCAGUAGCGGCGAGCGAACGGGGAUCAGCCCAUUAAGUUAUGUGUGUUUUAGUGGAACGCUCUGGGAAGUGCGAACGUAGAGGGUGAUAUUCCCGUACACGAAAGGGCACACAUAAUGAUGACGAGUAGGGCGAGGCACGUGAAACCUUGUCUGAAUAUGGGGGGACCAUCCUCCAAGGCUAAAUACUCCUGACUGACCGAUAGUGAACCAGUACCGUGAGGGAAAGGCGAAAAGAACCCCUGUGAGGGGAGUGAAAUAGAUCCUGAAACCGCAUGCAUACAAGCAGUGGGAGCACCUUCGUGGUGUGACUGCGUACCUUUUGUAUAAUGGGUCAGCGACUUAUAUUCAGUAGCGAGGUUAACCGUAUAGGGGAGCCGUAGAGAAAUCGAGUCUUAAUAGGGCGUUUAGUUGCUGGGUAUAGACCCGAAACCAGGCGAUCUAUCCAUGAGCAGGUUGAAGGUUGGGUAACACUAACUGGAGGACCGAACCCACUGUCGUUGAAAAGCCAGGGGAUGACUUGUGGAUAGGGGUGAAAGGCUAAUCAAGCCUGGUGAUAGCUGGUUCUCCCCGAAAGCUAUUUAGGUAGCGCCUCGGACGAAUACCAUAGGGGGUAGAGCACUGUUUCGGCUAGGGGGUCAUCCCGACUUACCAAACCGAUGCAAACUCCGAAUACCUAUGAGUACUAUCCGGGAGACAGACUGCGGGUGCUAACGUCCGUAGUCAAGAGGAAAACAAUCCAGACCGCCAGCUAAGGCCCCAAAAUCAUAGUUAAGUGGGAAACGAUGUGGGAAGGCAUAGACAGCUAGGAGGUUGGCUUAGAAGCAGCCACCCUUUAAAGAAAGCGUAAUAGCUCACUAGUCGAGUCGGCCUGCGCGGAAGAUGUAACGGGGCUAAAACUAUGUGCCGAAGCUGCGGAUGUAUACUUUGUAUACGUGGUAGGGGAGCGUUCUGUAAGCCGAUGAAGGUGUGUUGAGAAGCAUGCUGGAGGUAUCAGAAGUGCGAAUGCUGACGUGAGUAACGACAAAACGGGUGAAAAACCCGUUCGCCGAAAGACCAAGGGUUCCAGUCCAACGUUAAUCGGGGCUGGGUGAGUCGACCCCUAAGGCGAGGCCGAAAGGCGUAGUCGAUGGGAAAAUGGUUAAUAUUCCAUUACUUCUGUGUAAUGCGAUGAGAGGACGGAGAAGGCUAAAUCAGCCUGGCGUUGGUUGUCCAGGUGAAAGGAUGUAGGCAUGUAUCUUAGGCAAAUCCGGGGUACUCUAUGCUGAGAUCUGAUAGCAAGCUGUACUUGUACAGCGAAGUGGUUGAUGCCAUGCUUCCAGGAAAAGUCUCUAAGCUUCAGUUACACAGGAAUCGUACCCGAAACCGACACAGGUGGUCAGGUCGAGUAGACCAAGGCGCUUGAGAGAACUCUGCUGAAGGAACUAGGCAAAAUGGUACCGUAACUUCGGGAGAAGGUACGCUGUUGUUGGUGAUGGAACUCGCUUCCUGAGCUGACGACAGCCGCAGAAACCAGGCCGCUGCAACUGUUUAUUAAAAACAUAGCACUCUGCAAACACGAAAGUGGACGUAUAGGGUGUGAUGCCUGCCCGGUGCUGGAAGGUUAAUUGAUGGGGUUAGCGUAAGCGAAGCUCUUGAUCGAAGCCCCAGUAAACGGCGGCCGUAACUAUAACGGUCCUAAGGUAGCGAAAUUCCUUGUCGGGUAAGUUCCGACCUGCACGAAUGGCAUAAUGAUGGCGGCGCUGUCUCCAGCAGAGGCUCAGUGAAAUCGAAAUCGCUGUGAAGAUGCAGUGUACCCGCGGCUAGACGGAAAGACCCCGUGAACCUUUACUGCAGCUUGACACUGAACUUUGACCUUACUUGUGUAGGAUAGGUGGGAGGCUUUGAAGCUGGAACGCUAGUUCCAGUGGAGCCGUCCUUGAAAUACCACCCUGGUAAUGUUGAGGUUCUAACUCUGUCCCGUGAUCCGGGACGAGGACCGUGUCUGGUGGGUAGUUUGACUGGGGCGGUCUCCUCCUAAAGAGUAACGGAGGAGUACGAAGGUGCGCUCAGCGUGGUCGGAAAUCACGCGUAGAGUAUAAAGGCAAAAGCGCGCUUAACUGCGAGACCCACAAGUCGAGCAGGUACGAAAGUAGGUCUUAGUGAUCCGGUGGUUCUGUAUGGAAGGGCCAUCGCUCAACGGAUAAAAGGUACUCUGGGGAUAACAGGCUGAUACCGCCCAAGAGUUCAUAUCGACGGCGGUGUUUGGCACCUCGAUGUCGGCUCAUCUCAUCCUGGGGCUGAAGCAGGUCCCAAGGGUAUGGCUGUUCGCCAUUUAAAGAGGUACGCGAGCUGGGUUUAGAACGUCGUGAGACAGUUCGGUCCCUAUCUACCGUGGGCGCUGGAAAUUUGAGAGGAUCUGCUCCUAGUACGAGAGGACCAGAGUGGACGAACCUCUGGUGUACCGGUUGUGACGCCAGUCGCAUCGCCGGGUAGCUAUGUUCGGAAGGGAUAACCGCUGAAAGCAUCUAAGCGGGAAGCCUACCUCAAGAUAAGAUUUCCCUAGGACUUUAUGUCCUCUAAAGAGCCGUUCGAGACUAGGACGUUGAUAGGUUGGAUGUGGAAGCAUAGUGAUAUGUGAAGCUGACCAAUACUAA
This 2870-nucleotide ribosomal RNA is filed under the name Acinetobacter baumannii 44857_9. Its description in RNAcentral is "bacterial LSU rRNA". It matches the Rfam family "Bacterial large subunit ribosomal RNA". The record is from RNAcentral. Lineage: Bacteria; Pseudomonadati; Pseudomonadota; Gammaproteobacteria; Moraxellales; Moraxellaceae.